RNAcentral lists this ribosomal RNA (253 nucleotides) under uncultured bacterium. RNAcentral's name for it is "partial 16S ribosomal RNA". It matches the Rfam family "Bacterial small subunit ribosomal RNA", at positions 524 to 776 of the family's 1533-position model. The record is from RNAcentral.
UACGUAGGGGGCUAGCGUUGUCCGGAAUCAUUGGGCGUAAAGCGCGUGUAGGCGGUCCGGUAAGUCCGCUGUGAAAGUCGAGGGCUCAACCCUCGAAUGCCGGUGGAUACUGUCGGGCUUGAGUACGGGAGAGGCGAGUGGAAUUCCUGGUGUAGCGGUGAAAUGCGCAGAUAUCAGGAGGAACACCGGUGGCGAAGGCGGCGACCUGGGACAAUACUGACGCUGAGGUGCGAAAGUGUGGGGAGCGAACAGG